Long non-coding RNA from Leptidea sinapis, 542 nucleotides. RefSeq lists it as uncharacterized. The record is from RefSeq and is a predicted model, not a curated record. The transcript has 3 exons. Lineage: Eukaryota; Metazoa; Arthropoda; Insecta; Lepidoptera; Pieridae.
UUCAAGUUUUCGACGUUAUUAAUUAUUAUUAGUUUCAAACUUGAUCGAGUGAAGUUUUUAUUAAUUACUUCCGUAACUUAUCCUCUCAAUUUUCUAAGCUUUAAUAGCCCUGCAUAAUGUUCAAUAAGUGCUGUGUUGUGACCUGCUAGUAGACGAAAAGACUGUUUUCAUAUGUUUCCAAAAAUUCCUGCCAUCAGUGAUCAUGGUUAUUGUAGAAAGAGGUGUCAUUUUGAUCACACAUAUUGAAAACUAGAGGUCUUGCAGAACCACACAAAAUAUCAUGGUGACAUUGAUGACGCUGUGCAUCACACUCCAUCAAGGAAGAGAAGACCAUGUGUCAUUUUAAAGAAAAUGAAACUUUCACCUCAUUGUGCAAGUCUUUAUUGUGAAUUUACCCAAUCACGAAAGCAUUUUCACAGAAAAUCAUUUAUAAAUCUUACAGAGAAAAUGAACCCUAUUGCAAAGAAAUUUUUGUGGAUGCAGAUUCAAUAGGCUUACAAUAAGUUUAAAACGAAAAUGAAAAAUAAAAUAAGAUAACAUGA